GACGAACGCUGGCGGCGUGCUUAACACAUGCAAGUCGAACGGAAAGGCCCUGCUUUUGUGGGGUGCUCGAGUGGCGAACGGGUGAGUAACACGUGAGUAACCUGCCCUUGACUUUGGGAUAACUUCAGGAAACUGGGGCUAAUACCGGAUAGGAGCUCCUGCUGCAUGGUGGGGGUUGGAAAGUUUCGGCGGUUGGGGAUGGACUCGCGGCUUAUCAGCUUGUUGGUGGGGUAGUGGCUUACCAAGGCUUUGACGGGUAGCCGGCCUGAGAGGGUGACCGGCCACAUUGGGACUGGGAUACGGACCAGACUCCUACGGGAGGCAGCAGUGGGGGAUAUUGCACAAUGGGCGGAAGCCUGAUGCAGAAACGCCGCGUGCGGGAUGACGGCCUUCGGGUUGUAAACCGAUUUCGCCUGUGACGAAGCGUGAGUGACGGUAAUGGGUAAAGAAGCACCGGCUAACUACGUG
Molecule: ribosomal RNA, 468 nt
Filed under: uncultured bacterium
Lineage: Bacteria
Description: partial 16S ribosomal RNA
Rfam family: Bacterial small subunit ribosomal RNA
Source: RNAcentral